RNAcentral lists this ribosomal RNA (488 nucleotides) under uncultured bacterium. RNAcentral's name for it is "partial 16S ribosomal RNA". It matches the Rfam family "Bacterial small subunit ribosomal RNA", at positions 899 to 1397 of the family's 1533-position model. The record is from RNAcentral.
ACUCAAAGGAAUAGACGGGAGCCCGCACAAGCGGUGGAGCGUGUGGUUUAAUUCGAUGAUAAGCGAAGAACCUUACCAAGGUUAGAAAUUCGGCUGCACACCCCAAGAAACUGGGGAGCCUUCGAGGGUGCCGAACAGGUGCUGCAUGGUUGUCGUCAGCUCGUGGUGUGAACUGUUCCCUUCAGUGGGGUAACGAGCGCAACCCUUGUCGUGUGUUGUUUUUCACACGAGACUGCCGUGGUUAACACGGAGGAAGGCGGGGAUGACGUCAAAUCAGCAUGGUCCUCUGACACCUUGGGCGACACACGCGCUACAAUGGUUGGGACAGCGAGUUAUACGCCACUGCGCAAGCAGGAGCUAAUCUUUCAAACCCAAUCUCAGUUCGGAUUGAGGGCUGCAACUCGCCCUCAUGAAGCUGGAAUCGCUAGUAACCGCGGAUCAGCCACGCCGCGGUGAAUACGUUCUCGGGCUUUGUACACACCGCCCGU